Molecule: ribosomal RNA, 460 nt
Filed under: [Eubacterium] infirmum
Lineage: Bacteria; Bacillati; Bacillota; Clostridia; Peptostreptococcales; Anaerovoracaceae
Description: bacterial SSU rRNA
Rfam family: Bacterial small subunit ribosomal RNA
Source: RNAcentral
GAUGAACGCUGGCGGCGUGCCUAACACAUGCAAGUCGAGCGAGAAGUAAAGAAAUGAAGCUUCGGUAGAUUUUCAUUAUGGAAAGCGGCGGACGGGUGAGUAACGCGUAGGCAACCUGCCCUGUACAGGGGGAUAGCCACCCGAAAAGGUGAUUAAUACCCCAUGAUGCAAGAGAUACACAUGUAUCACUUGUCAAAGAUUUAUCGGUAUGGGAUGGGCCUGCGUCUGAUUAGCUAGUUGGUAGGGUAACGGCUUACCAAGGCAACGAUCAGUAGCCGACCUGAGAGGGUGAUCGGCCACAUUGGAACUGAGACACGGUCCAAACUCCUACGGGAGGCAGCAGUGGGGAAUAUUGCACAAUGGGGGAAACCCUGAUGCAGCAACGCCGCGUGAAGGAAGAAGGCCUUCGGGUUGUAAACUUCUGUCCUAGGGGAAGAAACAAAUGACAUUACCCUUGGAG